This 1119-nucleotide long non-coding RNA is filed under the name Papio anubis (olive baboon). Its description in RNAcentral is "lncRNA (ENSPANG00000049805.1)". Lineage: Eukaryota; Metazoa; Chordata; Mammalia; Primates; Cercopithecidae. The record is from RNAcentral.
GUCACAUUUAUGGUGAUGUUGAUUGAGGGCCAAGUAAUUUGAAGUGAAAGCAGACACUCCGUCCUUUAUUCACACAAGAGAAAUGCACAAUUAGCUCCAUGCACUCCUCCAGAGGUGAGAAACUUAAAUAUAAAGAAAAUUAGAGAAAAGGAGAGAAACGUGCCCCCCCCACUUUUUUGCAGACAUGAAAGAAACUCCGUAUAGUGUUUACACACUAUUCAGCAAUGGGCUAGAAUUGGUGCGUCCUCCUCGCGUGUUACUCAAGUUAUUUAUAAUGUGGUUGCAAAAUCCCAGCUAGGAACAAAAAGUCAGAUUUUUGGUACACAUCGAUUAAGCUGUGGCCUCUUGUACUCAUUUCUCCUACAGAGGAAAAUAGAGCCCCAAGAAAGAUCAAGUCCUUGCCUCCUUUUGCUGGUAGAGGGCACUUAACAGACAGUUGCUUAAAGGGAAAACAUGAAUAGAUUUUCUGUGUAUUUCAAAUAGAUACGAACUGAAUGCUGCAGGUAGUAUGGCUGCUAGGAAUACAGGAGAAAAAUACUGAAAACUGCUGCCAUUUAUUGAGUGCCUAUUCUCUGCCUGGCUCCUGGAAUGAUGAUAACAAUAUUUAACGUAUAAUACAGCAUGAGCAUCAUCCAGUGGAGGUGGAUGCCAGCCGAAAACACAACUGAUUUAAUGACAUCACCUUGGCCAAGAUUCAGGAAUUCAGAACUCUAAGUUACCCUGAACUAUCUAAAAACGAAAAUGGAAAGAUAAUUCUACUUCAUGUCUGGUGUACUGCAACUGUGGAUAAGGUGCCCUUCAGAGCCUUAAAGGACAGGAACAAAGUAUGGUGGUUUGUCAUCAGAGCUCCAGGAAGCCAUGAGGAAACUGAGCUUAGGAACCAAAUUGCUCAAAAUGGGAAAGAAAUGAAGAAAUGUGCAUGUGCGGCAGAUGCUUUCAGCCUGGAAGUGUAACCUUCGGGAAGAAGGGACCACCAGUCAUGCUAAUUGGUCUUGAACAAUGGCUGUUUGCACUGGGAGAUGAGAGAAAGCACCCCAUUUCUUCCUGAUUCUGUUCUAUAGAUAUCUUUCCGGGAUUUGCAAUUGAUAAUUAUAGACACAGAGACACACUUGGCCUAAU